Salvelinus fontinalis (brook trout) is the source of this 734-nucleotide long non-coding RNA. RefSeq lists it as uncharacterized. The transcript has 2 exons. NCBI's taxonomy places the organism in Eukaryota, Metazoa, Chordata, Actinopteri, Salmoniformes, Salmonidae. The record is from RefSeq and is a predicted model, not a curated record.
CAGUGCCCUAGGCCGCUGUGCCAUCCGGAGCUCAAUAUGAGUGAGAGCUUGGAAACAUGUCAAAAAUCUCAGGUCAAAAACCCUACAGUUCCCAAUACUCCUACGUAGGGAAAUAAGAGCCUGUGAGAAGAGCCCUGUGGCUUUAGGCUAUUCGGUGUGGGAAAUUGUGGGGACCCGGUGUCUAAGUACACGUAGCUAAAAUGUCAUCACAGAUGCACCAUCGAGAGCAUUAUGUCGGGCUGUAUCACCGCCUGGUACGGCAACUGCACCGCCAGCAACCGCAGGGCUCUCCAGAGGGUGGUGCGAUCAGCCCAACACAUCACCGGGGGCACACUGCCUGCACACAAGGACAUCUACAAAGCUGUGACUGAGAUACCUAAAAACAGCUAUCUCCAGGCCAUCAGACUGCUGAACAUUCAUCACUAAUCGGCCUUCCGCCCUGUACCCUGCCCUGCACCUUAAUAUAGUAAUGUUUACAUAAUGUUUAUUGCUCUGAAAUUAUUUCUGUAGUUUUAAACAGAUAAGAUUCUCAUUCCUGCAUCAUUAUCUUGUUGAAAUGUAAUUUGAUCUCUGAAAAUUACGUUAAUUGUUUUCUCAGUUUAUAUGUAAAUACUGUAUUCUUGACAUAGCUCAUCCACAUAACUAUUGCAGUACAUUCCUUUUUCCUACUUGUAUAUUGUCCAUACUGUCUAUAUGUAUUUAUAUUCCGGACUCUGAUAUAGCGCAUUCCGAUA